CCCAUUUCCAAUGUCUCGCACACCACCAGCGGGUCCAGGGUGAGUCAAGCAGCCUCCAUUAUAGUCAAUGUCAUUGCUCGUUAAAAUCCUACUCUCUCCCCAUAACCACAGCAGCUUCCACCACCUCCACCAAUCAUUAUGGCAUUCUCAGAGUUUAAGCCACUUGAUGAGAAAUCUUUGAUAGAGUACAUCAAGACCAACCCCGUUUUAUCCAACAAGAUUGGCAACAAUUACGAUGACUUGAAUAUCAAAGAAGUUGGAGACGGGAAUCUCAAUUUUGUGUACAUCGUCGUUGGCUUUGCCGGUUCUUUUGUCAUCAAACAGGCUCUUCCUUAUAUUCGAUGCAUAGGAGAGUCAUGGCCAAUGGCAAAAGAACGUGCUUACUUUGAAGCCACUGCACUAAAAGAGCAUGGUCGUCUCUCUCCUGAGCAUGUACCCGAAGUUUACCAUUUUGACAGGACUAUGUGUUUGAUUGGUAUGCGUUACCUUGAACCUCCUCAUAUUAUAUUGAGGAAGGGAUUGGUUGCUGGGGUUGAAUAUCCAUUGCUUGCACAACACAUUUCAGACUAUAUGGCAAAGACUCUUUUUUUCACCUCCUUGCUUUAUCUUAACACAACGGAUCACAAACGUGCAGUUGCUGAGUUUUGUGGAAACGUCGAGUUAUGUAGGCUCACUGAGCAAGUUGUCUUCUCGGACCCCUACAAAGUGUCAGAAUACAAUCGCUGUACAUCUCCUUAUCUUGAUGCCGAUGCAGAGGCAGUUCGCAAUGAUAAUGGUUUGAAGAUUGAAGUUGCUGAGCUUAAAUCCAAGUUUUGUGAGAGAGCCCAAGCUCUUAUACAUGGUGAUCUUCAUACUGGUUCUUUGAUGGUCACUCAAGAUUCAACCCAAGUAAUUGACCCAGAAUUUUCUUUCUAUGGGCCAAUGGGUUUUGAUAUUGGAGCAUAUAUUGGAAAUCUGAUUCUGGCGUACUUUUCCCAAGAUGGACAUGCAGAUCAGGCCAAUGACCGCAAGUCAUAUAAAGUUUGGAUUUUGAAGACAAUAACGGAGACUUGGAACCUCUUUCACCAAAAGUUUCUUGCACUCUGGGAUGAGCACAAGGAUGGUCCUGGUGAGGCAUAUCUUCCUGAAAUAUACAAUAAUACCGAGCUUCGACAACUGGUAAAGCAGAAAUACAUGAAAGAACUCUUCGAGGACACCCUUGGAUUUGGUGCUGCUAAAAUGAUAAGGAGAAUAGUUGGGGUGGCUCAUGUAGAAGAUUUUGAAUCAAUCAAGGAUGUUGCCAAACGAGCUGAUUGUGAACGACAAGCACUCAGCUGUGCAAAGAAGCUUCUGAAAGAAAGGCGAACAAUCAAGAGUAUUGAGGAAGUUAUUUCCACAAUUGAGCAAGUUCAGUUGCAGUAAUGUCCAAGUUAAAAUGGAUGAUCAUGUAACAUGUUGGCCUUAUGACCAAGCGUUGAUAUGUUUGCUUUUUGACUAAGCAUUCUGGAGUCUAUUUAGAUAUAUUGAAUGCCUAUUGAUAACAAAUAAUAUCCUUUUAGGUAUACAUUAUGCUUAAAAUGGUGAGUUUUCUUUGCUCAGUAGUCAUUUUAUUGGUGGAGGAACAUUAUCAUUUCCAG
This 1616-nucleotide unclassified non-coding RNA is filed under the name Hevea brasiliensis (rubber tree). Lineage: Eukaryota; Viridiplantae; Streptophyta; Magnoliopsida; Malpighiales; Euphorbiaceae. The record is from RNAcentral.